UUAAGCGACUAAGCGUACACCGGUGGAUGCCCUGGCAGUCAGAGGCGAUGAAGGACGUGCUAAUCUGCGAUAAGCGUCGGUAAGGUGAUAUGAACCGUUAUAACCGGCGAUUUCCGAAUGGGGAAACCCAGUGUGUUUCGACACACUAUCAUUAACUGAAUCCAUAGGUUAACGAGGCGAACCGGGGGAACUGAAACAUCUAAGUACCCCGAGGAAAAGAAAUCAACCGAGAUUCCCCCAGUAGCGGCGAGCGAACGGGGAGCAGCCCAGAGCCUGAAUCAGUGUGUGUGUUAGUGGAAGCGUCUGGAAAGGCGCGCGAUACAGGGUGACAGCCCCGUACACAAAAAUGCACAUGCUGUGAGCUCGAUGAGUAGGGCGGGACACGUGGUAUCCUGUCUGAAUAUGGGGGGACCAUCCUCCAAGGCUAAAUACUCCUGACUGACCGAUAGUGAACCAGUACCGUGAGGGAAAGGCGAAAAGAACCCCGGCGAGGGGAGUGAAAAAGAACCUGAAACCGUGUACGUACAAGCAGUGGGAGCACGCUUAGGCGUGUGACUGCGUACCUUUUGUAUAAUGGGUCAGCGACUUAUAUUCUGUAGCAAGGUUAACCGAAUAGGGGAUCCGAAGGGAAACCGAGUCUUAACUGGGCGUUAAGUUGCAGGGUAUAGACCCGAAACCCGGUGAUCUAGCCAUGGGCAGGUUGAAGGUUGGGUAACACUAACUGGAGGACCGAACCGACUAAUGUUGAAAAAUAGCGGAUGACUUGUGGCUGGGGGUGAAAGGCCAAUCAAACCGGGAGAUAGCUGGUUCUCCCCGAAAGCUAUUUAGGUAGCGCCUCGUGAAUUCAUCUCCGGUGGUAGAGCACUGUUUCGGCAAGGGGGUCAUCCCGACUUACCAACCCGAUGCAAACUGCGAAUACCGGAGAAUGUUAUCACGGGAGACACACGGCGGGUGCUAACGUCCGUCGUGAAGAGGGAAACAACCCAGACCGCCAGCUAAGGUCCCAAAGUCAUGGUUAAGUGGGAAACGAUGUGGGAAGGCCCAGACAGCCAGGAUGUUGGCUUAGAAGCAGCCAUCAUUUAAAGAAAGCGUAAUAGCUCACUGGUCGAGUCGGCCUGCGCGGAAGAUGUAACGGGGCUAAACCAUGCACCGAAGCUGCGGCAGCGACGCUGAUGCGUUGUUGGGUAGGGGAGCGUUCUGUAAGCCUGCGAAGGUGUGCUGUGAGGCAUGCUGGAGGUAUCAGAAGUGCGAAUGCUGACAUAAGUAACGAUAAAGCGGGUGAAAAGCCCGCUCGCCGGAAGACCAAGGGUUCCUAUCCAACGUUAAUCGGGGCAGGGUGAGUCGACCCCUAAGGCGAGGCCGAAAGGCGUAGUCGAUGGGAAACAGGUUAAUAUUCCUGUACUUGGUGUUACUGCGAAGGGGGGACGGAGAAGGCUAUGUUGGCCGGGCGACGGUUGUCCCGGUUUAAGCGUGUAGGCUGGUUUUCCAGGCAAAUCCGGAAAAUCAAGGCUGAGGCGUGAUGACGAGGCACUACGGUGCUGAAGCAACAAAUGCCCUGCUUCCAGGAAAAGCCUCUAAGCAUCAGGUAACAUCAAAUCGUACCCCAAACCGACACAGGUGGUCAGGUAGAGAAUACCAAGGCGCUUGAGAGAACUCGGGUGAAGGAACUAGGCAAAAUGGUGCCGUAACUUCGGGAGAAGGCACGCUGAUAUGUAGGUGAAGCGACUUGCUCGUGGAGCUGAAAUCAGUCGAAGAUACCAGCUGGCUGCAACUGUUUAUUAAAAACACAGCACUGUGCAAACACGAAAGUGGACGUAUACGGUGUGACGCCUGCCCGGUGCCGGAAGGUUAAUUGAUGGGGUUAGCGCAAGCGAAGCUCUUGAUCGAAGCCCCGGUAAACGGCGGCCGUAACUAUAACGGUCCUAAGGUAGCGAAAUUCCUUGUCGGGUAAGUUCCGACCUGCACGAAUGGCGUAAUGAUGGCCAGGCUGUCUCCACCCGAGACUCAGUGAAAUUGAACUCGCUGUGAAGAUGCAGUGUACCCGCGGCAAGACGGAAAGACCCCGUGAACCUUUACUAUAGCUUGACACUGAACAUUGAGCCUUGAUGUGUAGGAUAGGUGGGAGGCUUUGAAGUGUGGACGCCAGUCUGCAUGGAGCCGACCUUGAAAUACCACCCUUUAAUGUUUGAUGUUCUAACGUUGACCCGUAAUCCGGGUUGCGGACAGUGUCUGGUGGGUAGUUUGACUGGGGCGGUCUCCUCCUAAAGAGUAACGGAGGAGCACGAAGGUUGGCUAAUCCUGGUCGGACAUCAGGAGGUUAGUGCAAUGGCAUAAGCCAGCUUGACUGCGAGCGUGACGGCGCGAGCAGGUGCGAAAGCAGGUCAUAGUGAUCCGGUGGUUCUGAAUAGAAGGGCCAUCGCUCAACGGAUAAAAGGUACUCCGGGGAUAACAGGCUGAUACCGCCCAAGAGUUCAUAUCGACGGCGGUGUUUGGCACCUCGAUGUCGGCUCAUCACAUCCUGGGGCUGAAGUAGGUCCCAAGGGUAUGGCUGUUCGCCAUUUAAAGUGGUACGCGAGCUGGGUUUAGAACGUCGUGAGACAGUUCGGUCCCUAUCUGCCGUGGGCGCUGGAGAACUGAGGGGGGCUGCUCCUAGUACGAGAGGACCGGAGUGGACGCAUCACUGGUGUUCGGGUUGUCAUGCCAAUGGCACUGCCCGGUAGCUAAAUGCGGAAGAGAUAAGUGCUGAAAGCAUCUAAGCACGAAACUUGCCCCGAGAUGAGUUCUCCCUGACCCUUUAAGGGUCCUGAAGGAACGUUGAAGACGACGACGUUGAUAGGCCGGGUGUGUAAGCGCAGCGAUGCGUUGAGCUAACCGGUACUAAUGAACCGUGAGGCUUAACCUU
RNAcentral lists this ribosomal RNA (2902 nucleotides) under Escherichia coli STEC_EH250. RNAcentral's name for it is "bacterial LSU rRNA". It matches the Rfam family "Bacterial large subunit ribosomal RNA". The record is from RNAcentral. Lineage: Bacteria; Pseudomonadati; Pseudomonadota; Gammaproteobacteria; Enterobacterales; Enterobacteriaceae.